Tribolium castaneum (red flour beetle) is the source of this 1248-nucleotide RNA transcript. RefSeq lists it as uncharacterized. The record is from RefSeq and is a predicted model, not a curated record. NCBI's taxonomy places the organism in Eukaryota, Metazoa, Arthropoda, Insecta, Coleoptera, Tenebrionidae. The transcript has 5 exons.
AGCAAGAAGGUUUUGGUGCACUUGAUUUUAUUCAAUUUUCUGCUAACUGUGAGUUGUAGAAGAUUAUUUGGAACUACUUAAACUUUGCUUCAUCGAUUUGUUUCGGACCUAUUUCGCCAAGUUCUUUCUCACCAUUGCGUUCAUCAACAUUACAGCAUUGACCAUUCUUCAGACGUACUACUCUCUCACCAGUUUCAAUACGGUACAAUUUUUAAAAUACGCUCCUGUUUAUUUCGGACGCUUUCACGCAUUCAUAUGUUUGUGUUUCAUCUUGCAUUAUAUACAUGUUACGGACAAGUUGUUUGAAAAUGUUCCCCGGUGGAGUUAUACCACUAUUGGAAAAAAGUAUGAUAACGAGGUUAAGAGAAACGCCCUGUAUACAAACAUCUUGGUCGCUUGCAUUGCGAUAGCAGGUUUUGGGAGUGGUGUUCUUUAUGCAAUGCCAACUGAAAAAGACAACGAGAUUUUCUUCAUUAUGACUUGGUUCGAAGACAAUUUAUUGGAAUGGGCUGAUAUUUUAUCUUUGUGUCAUCGAAUGAGUUUUAUUUUUGUUUCUGUGAUAAUGCAAGCACCGUGUAUCCAAAUUUGCUACACGAUAAAACAUUCCCAAUAUCAGUUAGGCAUCUUAAAAAGCAUCCUAGAAAAUAUACAUCAAGGAUUUGAUAAUUUGGACGAACUCGUUUACGACGAUAAUUUUCACAAAGAAAUAAAAAAAAGAUUAGUGUUUUGUAUUAAACGGCACAUUAAUCUCAUUCUAGUAGGGAGGAAAAUGGUGAGAGACACUGGUAUUUUUGUGCCUUUUCUUUCCAUUAGUGGAGGAAUGUUGGGUAUAAGUCUAAUGAUGUUUUUCUAUGUGAUUGAGGAUACAUCAACUUUUGUGAUUGUGCGUCUUUGUGGUUUGAUUUUUGUGGCUACGGUAACAGGGAUGUUAUACAUAAUACAAGGUCAAAACAUUCAAGAUAUUAGCGAAGAGUGUUUUCAAACUGUAACCCAAAUGGACUGGUAUUACUGGAAUAAAGAAAAUAAAAAAAUCUAUCAGAUUAUGUUUCUUAAUUCUUUUGAGCCAUUUACAAUCAGAUUUUCAGAGAAUCUGGCAGUAAAUUACGAAUUAGGAAUAGAGUUGGCAAAAGCUGUAUAUUCCAUGAUGUCAUUUAUGAAUUAUGUUUCUGAUUACAUGAAAACAUAGGUAACAACAAAAAGUCAUUUGUAACCUUUUUUACACCAAACAAUGUAAUAAAAUAUAGCACC